Non-coding RNA from Aspergillus fumigatus Af293, 72 nucleotides. The record is from the annotation of a RefSeq genome assembly. NCBI's taxonomy places the organism in Eukaryota, Fungi, Ascomycota, Eurotiomycetes, Eurotiales, Aspergillaceae.
AUUUGCAAGAUAAUGCAAUAGAUUGCCAGUCUGAUUUUAGACAUUUUAUGGCAGAUACUUCCUGUAGUGCAG